This 253-nucleotide ribosomal RNA is filed under the name uncultured bacterium. RNAcentral's name for it is "partial 16S ribosomal RNA". It matches the Rfam family "Bacterial small subunit ribosomal RNA", at positions 524 to 776 of the family's 1533-position model. The record is from RNAcentral.
UACGUAGGGUGCGAGCGUUGUCCGGAAUUAUUGGGCGUAAAGAGCUCGUAGGCGGUUUGUUGCGUCUAUCGUGAAAACCUGCAGCUUAACUGUGGGCUUGCGGUGGAUACGGGCAGACUUGAGUUCGGUAGGGGAGACUGGAAUUCCUGGUGUAGCGGUGAAAUGCGCAGAUAUCAGGAGGAACACCGGAGGCGAAGGCGGGUCUCUGGGCAGAUACUGACGCUGAGGAGCGAAAGCGUGGGGAGCGAACAGG